RNAcentral lists this ribosomal RNA (398 nucleotides) under uncultured bacterium. Its description in RNAcentral is "partial 16S ribosomal RNA". It matches the Rfam family "Bacterial small subunit ribosomal RNA", at positions 361 to 774 of the family's 1533-position model. The record is from RNAcentral.
AUAUUGCGCAAUGGGGGAAACCCUGACGCAGCGACGCCGCGUGAACGAUGAAGGCCUUCGGGUCGUAAAGUUCUGUCCUCAGGGAAGAAUAACUGACGGUACCUGAGGAGGAAGCCCCGGCUAACUACGUGCCAGCAGCCGCGGUAAUACGUAGGGGGCAAGCGUUGUCCGGAAUUAUUGGGCGUAAAGGGUGCGUAGGCGGCCAAUUAAGUCUGAUGUGAAAGACCACAGCUUAACUGUGGGGUUGCAUUUGAAACUGGUUGGCUUGAGUGUCGGAGAGGGUAGUGGAAUUCCAUGUGUAGCGGUGAAAUGCGUAGAGAUAUGGAGGAACACCAGUGGCGAAGGCGACUCUCUGGUCUGCAACUGACGCUGAGGCGCGAAAGCGUGGGGAGCGAACA